This 465-nucleotide ribosomal RNA is filed under the name uncultured bacterium. Its description in RNAcentral is "partial 16S ribosomal RNA". It matches the Rfam family "Bacterial small subunit ribosomal RNA", at positions 28 to 507 of the family's 1533-position model. The record is from RNAcentral.
GACGAACGCUGGCGGCGUGCUUAACACAUGCAAGUCGAACGGAAAGGCCCUGCUUGCAGGGUACUCGAGUGGCGAACGGGUGAGUAACACGUGGGUGAUCUGCCCUGCACUUCGGGAUAAGCCUGGGAAACUGGGUCUAAUACCGGAUAGGAGCCAUUUUUAGUGUGAUGGUUGGAAAGUUUUUUCGGUGUAGGAUGAGCUCGCGGCCUAUCAGCUUGUUGGUGGGGUAAUGGCCUACCAAGGCGGCGACGGGUAGCCGGCCUGAGAGGGUGGACGGCCACAGUGGGACUGGGAUACGGCCCAGACUCCUACGGGAGGCAGCAGGGGGGAAUAUUGAACAAUGGGCGCAAGCCUGAUGCAGCGACGCCGCGGGGGGGAUGACGGCCUUCGGGUUGUAAACUCCUUUCGCUAGGGACGAAGCUUUUUGUGACGGUACCUAGAGAAGAAGCACCGGCUAACUACGUG